CAGCUCCAGUACAGCCCGGCAACUGAAUCGGGCCUGGAGGCGCUGCGGAGAGAGCUGCCAUUGCUGAGACCCACAGAAGCCUCAGACGGUGAGCGCAGCAGCCCCUCCACUCAGCACUCCCGCCCCGUGUCUUCACCGCCAGGGCGCUCUGGCGAUCGGAUCGUGACACCUCGGGGUUGGAGCCCUUGCAGAUUUCCAGUCAAUGCGGUCGGCUGCCAGGGUAAUUACAGUCAUGUGUCUCCUAAUGACGGGGCUCUGCUCCCAGAAAUGCAUCCCUAGGCAGUUUUGUGGAGGAACGUCACGGUAUUCUCACGGGCCUGGAGAGCACGGGCCAGUCACCAAGACCGGCAGUAGACGCUGCGUGUACGAGGCUGCGGUAGUUUAACACGCUGGUAGUUUAACAGGUUAACCAGCUACGCGCCUGUUUCCGUCUAGAAGCAGUAUACAUUAAGAACAGCAAACAACCCAGUGAGGGAAUCCGGAAGGUAGUCAGCUGCCAUCAAGCGAUCCGUGCCGUGACUUGUUGACCUUGAUUUUUUUUUUAAACAAGCCUACCUUAUUUAGGGUAUCAAACGCUCCUACCUCCCUUCCGACCCCCCAGCUCGGGGUAGGAGGGAAAGAAGGUUAGUGGGGACAGGGGGUGGAGUUCUCUCUGCUACUUCCCACUGGGCAGGGCCAUAGGACUCUUUUGGGGGCCAAUGCCAAUGUCAGUCGUCCAGAAGUACAGGUCACCAGCAGACGAGCAAACAGCCAACGCAGCAGCAGGACGGACGAACCAGCAGCGAGCAGUCCUCCUCCAAGCAGCGGCGCCUUCAUCCUCUGGGCCCUCACAUUUACACCCCUCAGAGUCCUCAGACUUCAACUAAUUCCACCUGGCAAAGAUCACGCUCUGCGAGAGACACUUAACAGGGGUGGACAAACUAUGCCCCCCAACUUGGAAUUUUAACAAAAACAUGCUUACAUGUCAUAAACCAACACUGACUAAUGGGACAUUGGUCUAGAUAGCAGCACAGACAUGCGGAGAUAUGUUAUGCCUCAAAUGUCACUCAGUGGUAGGACUUUUUCAGCUCCGUUGCGGUCUUUCGAGGCCGCCCUCAUUUAUGCCAUCUGUCGUCGAUUGAGACACCGUCAUACCAAGCACGGCUGGAUUUGUCAGCCCUCAGGUGGGCAGUCCAUUGACCUCGAGGCGUUCAGAGCUGGGAGGUGUCUUAGUGUCUGUGUGGCCCACAGACACUUCCAUAUAUCUAGAAGGUGACAGCACGACACGGUCUGUAAGUGUAACAAUGACUAGAACAGAACGCCAUUUCUAUCGGUAUUUGGUAUUGGUAUGAGUAGAGGAAAAAAAUAUUUUUCUCUGACUUAACAAUCUGUUUUUUCCCCCUUCUGAAUAUCAGAAUAACAAGAGCUCAGUGCUCUUGAAAAUUAAAAAUCAAGUAAAAUUAGAAAUCAAAAUCAUACCCGUGGCUGGGGACGAUGGCUCUGGGGAAGAACACUUAAUAUGGGAGCAUGAGGAGCUGAGCUAUAAUCUCCAGCACUCACAUAAAAUGGCAGACCCGGCCACACAGCCACGCAUGGGGACACACACACACACACAUUCAUGACCACAGUGUGGGGAGUGGAAAACAGGAGAAUUCCUGGGGCUUGACAUUUGCCAGCUUAGCUUCAGGUUCAAAGAGAUCCUACCUCACAGGAAGAGGGUAGAGUGAGUUAGAGUGGAGCCUCUGAUAUCCUCCUCUGACCUCUGAAUGUGUGCAUACAGGUAUGCCCACCCAGAUACAUACACAUGCCCAUAAACUACACAGACACACACAACACCACAUAAAUACAAGUUAAUCUAUAUUUUAUAAUUCAUUAAUGCUGUCACAUUGAUCCAUAGCUUGAGACAGCUCACUCUUGCUUUAUUUUAGGCUCUAGUAAACAGAUGUAUUUGCCUGCUAAAGGUUUGCAUACUUAAAUGUUAACACACACAAAUGAAUGGUGCUAGGUCUUUGUGAAAUGUAUUUUAUUUUAUUAAAACUCUCUAUAUUUUCUUUCAUGGUGGAGAUGGUUUUUACCGUAAUCAGUGCUUUGCUGCUUUCUCACAGGAAAGGAAACACAAAGAACAGGAUUCCAGAUAAUAGAGUUGGCUCCAUGGGUGAAUUUCCCAGUGCACACGUGUGAGAACCUGGAUCCCCAGCACUCAUGUAGAGGGCAUGGUUACAUACAUGUGCCUGCAACCCCAGUGCUGGAGGAUCCCUGAGAGCCCUGGGAGAAGUGGAGCAAGCAUGGAGUGGAAAUCUCCGGGUCGUGUUUCGUAAACAUCGAGAUGCGUGGGAACAAGUAUAAGAUUUUGGAAUCCGUUAGACAUGAUGCCGUCAUUGGUGCCGUCGUCUGAGAAGUGGAAUUCCUUCGUGCUGAAUGGAUUCGCCUGUCUGCUGCUCGUCGGCCAUCAAUGCGGGCUUUGUUCUGAAGCCUCCGUGUUAAUAUAAGCACAAAAACCGUGAUAACAGAAGAGUGGCUGUCACACCCUCCUGACAUUAAAGGCCUGGAGAGCAGGUCACGCGGCAGCCUUUGAAGCCUGAGCUCUCCCCUACGCAGAGCCUUGCUCCGGGGAAGCUAGGUGUGCGGCACUCCUUCCUGCGGCCAUUUGCCGAGCGUCCUCAGUGACACCAUCUGCGGUGCUCCCCUUGCUAACGCUGUCAGUCACGAGCCCCAUGACAUUUCCCUCCCACGAACUCUUCUCUGAUGCCUGCAUGGUCUUCUCCAUGUAUAUCCCCUGCCAGGCUGGUCCACACGUUCAGUGAGCUAACACUGACACAUGAUGAGCAGCCAAAGGCCUCGGUUUAUGUUAGGGUCUGCUGUUAGCGUCGUACUGUCCGUGGAUUAGGACAAAUGUGGGAUGGCUGGGACCCACCAUUACAGCUUCUUUGGAGGUAUUUUCACUGUGCUGAAAAAUCUCUUGUGUUCCCGAGUCAGUAUAUCCAACCUCCCUACCCUUGGCAGCCAUACAUCUUUUUGCUGUAUUCAUAGAUUUCCCUUUUCUUGUACGCCAAGUAGUUGAAAAUUGCACAGCACACACCAUUUUUAGAUUCUCUCUCUCUGUCUGUGUGUGUGUGUGUAUGUAUUAUGCAUGUGUACGCGUUUGUGAGUAUGUACAUGUGUGAGUGUGAAUGUGCGUCCAUAUGGAGGCCGGAGGUCGAAGUUAGGCAUCUUCCUUUAAUCACACUCCACCUUAGUUUGAGGCAGGCUUUCUCACUGUUUGGAGCUCACCAAUAUGGGAAGACUCACCUAGUCAGCUCCAAGGACCCUCCGGUCUCCACUUCCCCAGUACGGGGAUAACAGGCUCAUGCCAGCAUGCCUGAUGAGCCUUUUACAUUGAUGCUGGGGAUGUGAACUCAGAUUCUCAUGGUUGCGCGGUGAACACUUACCGGCUGAAGUGUCUGCCAACUCCGUCAGACUGGCUUCUUGCUCUCAGGAGUAACAGGAAGCCAGUGUUCCUUCAUGGAGCUUCAAGGCUUUUAAAAUCUUAGUUCUGACUGAUAUUCCAUUGUCUGGUUAUAAUAGAGCUUAUUAAUUCACUCCCCCGAAGAUUACUUCCACGUUUUGGUGACAGAGAGCAAUCUGUGGGGCUUUGUGUAAACAUAUGUUUUUAGAUCUUAUGGAGAAAUUCUAGAGCGUAUAAUCAUGGGAUCAUGUGAUGAGUAUAUAUGGAUUUUCAUGUCAUCAAAUUGUCCCCCAAAGUGACUGUCGUGUCAUUUUACACCCUCACCAGGAGUGUCACUCUGCUUCUGUUAGCAUUUGUUACUGUCAUUGUUCAGAAUUUCGAAUAUGUUAGUAAUGGUAUUUUACUGCUGUUUUGAUUUACAUUUACUUAUAUCUAAUGAAGCGGAACAAACUUUA
Long non-coding RNA from Meriones unguiculatus (Mongolian gerbil), 3879 nucleotides. RefSeq lists it as uncharacterized. Lineage: Eukaryota; Metazoa; Chordata; Mammalia; Rodentia; Muridae. The transcript is spliced from 2 exons. The record is from RefSeq and is a predicted model, not a curated record.